CGCGCGGAGCUGAGGGUGCUGGGGCGAACCCCGAGCGGAGACAGGGUGCUGGGGCGAACCCCGAGCGGAGACAGGGUGCUGGGGCGAACCCCGAGCGGAGACAGGGUGCUGGGGCGAACCCCGAGCGGAGACAGGGUGCUGGGGCGAACCCCGAGCGGAGACAGGGUGCUGGGGCGAACCCCGAGCGGAGACAGGGUGCUGGGGCGAACCCCGAGCGGAGACAGGGUGCUGGGGCGAACCCCGAGCGGAGACAGGGUGCUGGGGCGAACCCCGAGGGAAGACUGGGUGCUGGGGCGAACCCCGAGCGGAGACAGGGUGCUGGGGUGAACCCUGCCCUCGGAGGUCUACGCCGCGCCUGGCUGUUGGGGGGCGGGGGUCACAGGGUAUAGGCGGUGGUUAAACGAGGGAGUCGUUGGGCCGGGAACAGUGGAACCCAGACGUGAAGUCCAUUCUCUGGCGGCUGCAGAGAGUGAAUUUGCAAUGCCGAUUAAUCGAUUAAUCGCCUGGCUGAUUUCUCAGGUUUUAGACCGAGAUGGCAGUAAGGUCAGAUACUCCUACCGUGGAGGUACCGAUGUUGACAAGCCCUACUGUGUUUUCGGCCCAACUUAAAGGAAUUUCACAGAAUCUUCUUGCAGUGUAUACCCAGUAAGAGAACAGGAACUUUGACAUCGGUUAAGAGCUUGGCUGCUGACCGAAAGGUUGCUGGUUCAAACCCACCCAGUGGCUCUUUGGGAGAAAGACCAGAUGGUCUGCUUCCCUAAAGAUUACUGCGUAGAAAACCCUAUGGGGCAGUUCUAUCCUGUCACAUGGCACCUAACAGCAACAACAGACUUGGCCUGGGUUCUUCCUCCAACUGGUUGUGUGACCUCAGCUGAGGAAACAGGCCCAGAGUAAGCAAGUGACUCGCGGGAGGUCACGCAGCUUUGACUUCCUACCACACGACUCAGAGAAGAACCAAUGGUUUGUCCUCUCCCUCCACAGCUUUAAGUUAGGUCCCUCCUCCACAUCCCUGCCCCGUAGCUCCAUUGCUGUUAAAAUGCACCUGAAUGCGUUUUAGGGGGCAGUGGUGGUUCGGAGGUAGAAGUCUUGCCUGUCAUGCUGGGUUUGACUCUCAGUCGGUGUAGCCCAGGCACAGUCACCACCUGUCUGCCAGUGGAAGCUUUGGUGUUCUCUGAUGCUAACUUCCAGACAGACUGUCAGCCAGUGGAAACCCUGUGGAUCACAACAGUUCGAGCCUGUUGUGCGUGGUGUCACCAUGGGUUGGAGGCCAACUCGACGGCAGCUGACAACAACAACAACAAAUGGCAUUUUAAUAAAUGAAACCUUAGUAAUUAUUCCUGGAUAGCCUUAACAUUUCUUAUUCCAAAGUCUGUGCAUUUUUAGUCCAAAGUCACCUCGAGGUGAUGUCCUGGAGGACAGGGACCACAUAGAGGAGGCUCUGUCUGUCAUCUCUCACAGGACCCUACAGGAGAGGAAAGACGGGUAAUUUAUUAGCAAUGAAGUAAAGGGAGGGAGAGCUCCUAGGAAGGCCUAUGGCUGGGCCUCCCUCAGCACCAGGACCUCCAUGGGUUAUCCCCUCCCUCCUGGCUUAGUCCCCGUUUCCACCCAGCAGAACCCGAGACCAGUCGCUUGGACCACACUCCCAGACUCCAAUCCGUAGGCCUGUCUCUUGGCUUCAAGCACACAGUCUACCUCCCACACAGGAUCCAGAGGAUUGAACGCAACUUAAGAAAGUUCCAUAAACGGAGCAUGUGCCUCAAUGACAAAAGUUAGUUGUCCAGUCAGGUUUGCUCCUAAUUUGCUUCCUAAUUCCUUCCCCAGAGUGGAUAUCCCAGCCUUUACUAAUUCACUUGAGCCCUAGGGGAAGGACAACCCCUUUGAAGGCCCGACUCAGACGUCACCUCUGAGAAGCCUUUGGUGUCAUAGUGAAACCAGUGGCUUCACGUUUCAAACUGCCUGUGUUCAAAUUCGAGCCACCAACUACUAGCUGUGUGACUUCAGGCAAGUUGCUUAAUCUCUCUGAACCGAGUUCUUCGUCUAUAGGAGUAAUAGUCCUUGUGGUACUGGUUUUCACUAUUCUUGCUAUUUUUAAGGUCUGAAAUAUUGGUAUUUGUUGGUGCCAUACUUCUAAUUGUUUUAAAAAAUCUGAAAUAUUGUUUUCGUGUGGAAUUAAGAUCAUUGACGUAAAUAUUCAAUUUAUAUGAAAAGACAUGCUGAUACUCUACAAAUGUACAUAGACCCUUCUCUUGCAAGCACAAGCGUUACUCGGGGUCAGAGGCUUUGCCGACAAGUGAGUGUGGACGUGAGAAAAUUGAAACUGACACAUGGAAUCUCCACCUAUAACCCUCCUGCUCGAUCUCAGAGCUCAGACACAGAGCAGCAGUCCCCACAAGGUGAGUCAGCCACACAUG
Loxodonta africana (African savanna elephant) is the source of this 2411-nucleotide long non-coding RNA. RefSeq lists it as uncharacterized. The transcript has 3 exons. The record is from RefSeq and is a predicted model, not a curated record. Lineage: Eukaryota; Metazoa; Chordata; Mammalia; Proboscidea; Elephantidae.